Miniopterus natalensis is the source of this 396-nucleotide non-coding RNA. NCBI's taxonomy places the organism in Eukaryota, Metazoa, Chordata, Mammalia, Chiroptera, Miniopteridae. The record is from RefSeq and is a predicted model, not a curated record.
ACCCGCUGUCUGCGUGCUUCUUUCCAUCCCUUCAGAGGUUAUCUCUGAUGUGAAUACAGGAGGAAGCACAAGGCUCUCCAAGGCGAUACGUAAAGCUGAAGAAAUGCAGAGUGAUUGACAGAAAUCUCCAGUUUUUCUGUUGGAAUGAAAACACAAUGCUGACUGUCACUACAGUUCUUCAACCUGAGGCCACCUUGUGCCCAAUGCAAUUAUACACCCACCAUAUUCGUCAUUAUGGUCUCAGCCAACCCAUUCCGCCUGGAUGGGGCAGUCCUGUGAUUUACAUCCCCACACUGACCCUCCUGGAACCAGGGUCCUGAAGAUUCAAUUAAAUCCAAGAACUUGGAUCAUUUUGAGGAACAAUUUGUUUUUAUCAGGUCUCUAAACUUUUACUUU